This 1964-nucleotide long non-coding RNA is filed under the name Homo sapiens (human). RNAcentral describes it as "HSALNT0372373". Lineage: Eukaryota; Metazoa; Chordata; Mammalia; Primates; Hominidae. The record is from RNAcentral.
AAGAGGACGUGGGGACCUGAUAGCAACACACAUGUUGUUGAUGGGCGGACUUUCUCUAUCAGGGAGGCUCAGCUGGAGCAACAGAGCAGCAUUUCUGGAGGAGGGCAUAUCAGUUUUGACACCUGUUUUCAGAAUCAUCCACAGAAGCACAAAGAUCAAAUGCAGAAGGAACUGCACGUGGAAAGGCCAGCCACAUACAUCACAAAAAGAGGACUGAAGUCAGCACACAGCUUGAAAGCCGGACUACAGGCCUUUCUUCAAGAAUGGCUGGAGUGACCCUGGGGACUUGCUGCAAGAAGCAAGAGGAUUGGGCAAAGGUCAAGAGGCCAUUUGUCAAACAGCACAAGACAUGUAACAGGAUAUGCACAGUGAGACAUGGCGGGGGAGAGCCCCCACGGAGCCCAGGGGAUGUAUGACAUCAUAGUCACAGUCCUACAUCUUCCUCUGUUUCCCCAGCUACCCUGGCUAUCUCUGCAGACAGGAAGAGAGCUGCCAAGUAGGGCUGGAAAGAGACACUCGGCAGGUAGAUCUUGCCGUAACAAGGAGAAGAAACUCAUGGAUUUCACCUAAGACCAGAGAAGGGAACAUUCCCAAGAGACUUGGAGGUUCCAUCUCUCAAGCAACCUGAAAUUAGCAGGGAUUUCUCCUGCGGCUUUGCCAUGAUGUGGGGAAAAGGGAAGUGGUUUUGACGCAAGGGACAGAGGGAGUGUUGGCGGUGGCAGGGGGAGCAGGGGCAGCAGCUCACUUACGGGUUAAAACCACCCUGGAGAGGCCCAGCUCUCUGAAGUUCGACAUCAGAAUAUACAUUCGAGUAAGGGUGGUCAGUUAUUCAAUUUUUUGAGACUCACUUUCCUUGUCUUUAUACAUGAGGUUUAACAAAAUUGUCAAGAAGGUGACAGAAAACAGCAGAGGAAAAAGCUGCAGUAUAGUGGAUACUCCAUAAAUAUUGGUUCCCUUGGCUAUAUUCGUCCCCUCUUUUUCCCAAGUGUAGAGCAACAUGGAUUAAAAUUUAUUUUGUAUUUCUAGAUCUCCAGCAAAUGUAUUUAGAACUGUUCUAUUAAAUUUUCCUGGAAAAUAAAGCAUCCCUUGCAUUGAGGCUAUCUAGGUAAUCUAUUUAACAGCAUCUAAGUCUAGAAAUUCAGAAACGUCUAUAUGUGCGCCUCUCUCUGUAAUGUCCUGAUUCUUUUUUUUUUUCUCAUCCACUUGCCCAUCAGUGGUUCAGAUAUUCUCUCUAUAUUUGUGUUUGCAAAGUUCUAUUCCUGAAUGGAAUUUUCUCCCAGGAAUUCCCGACCGAGGCCAUCUGCUCUGCAGGCAGAAAGUGAAGCGACCGCAGCCUGAUGCAGCCAGGAAGGCAGAGGCUGAGAGGAGGGAGUGUGGCAUCAGAACAGAGUCCGCCGGGGCUCUGGCUUCCUCCUCCGGGAUCAAGGGAAAUGUGCGAAGCACAGUGCAGAAUCCCGGGCGGCUCAUGCCCACUCACUUGCUGGGGGAACAGAUAAAACACGAGUGAGGGGGAGAUUUUGUGGGCUGACACUCCCCAGAAAUGCUGUGUGCACAUGGGCGUGGUGAUUGAUACUUAGCGCUUUGAAGCAAACACCGUGAGACUACUCAGCAUUGGGAGAAGCUGUCCACGCGGACGCCCAGGAAGCAGCCCGGAGGAUAGGGUGCCCCAGCAGUACUGCAGAAUCCCAACUACUGACGAGAAUGAGUAAAAGAAUGCACAGAUUGGACAUGUAAAUAAACAGGUUAAAUACCCUGGCAGCUCUUGAAAACAAACCCCUUUUUCUGAAUCUGCUCAGAAACCUCCGUUCUCAUGGUCACUCGGCAACAUGCUGCGGAGAAGAAGACUCGGCCUCGGAACAGCCAUGCCCGGGUUCGAUCCCAGUCCUAGCUUGUGGCAGCCGGGUGACUGGGCAUGAUUCCUGGGCUUCAGUCCUAAUCUGUAAAACGUAGGGGCUGAAGGAGGA